RNAcentral lists this ribosomal RNA (405 nucleotides) under uncultured bacterium. Its description in RNAcentral is "partial 16S ribosomal RNA". It matches the Rfam family "Bacterial small subunit ribosomal RNA", at positions 30 to 526 of the family's 1533-position model. The record is from RNAcentral.
AUUGAACGCUGGCGGCGUGCCUAAUACAUGCAAGUCGAGCGAAGCGGGGACGGGUGAGUAACACGUGGAUAACCUCCUAUAAGACUGGGAUAACUUCGGGAAACCGUAGCUAAACCGGCUACUUAUAGAUGGAUCCGCGCUGCAUUAGCUAGGGGGUAAGGUAACGGCUUACCAAGGCAACGAUGCAUAGCCGACCUGAGAGGGGGAUCGGCCACACUGGAACUGAGACACGGUCCAGACUCCUACGGGAGGCAGCAGUAGGGAAUAUUCCGCAAUGGGCGCAAGCCUGACGGAGCAACGCCGCGUGAGUGAUGAAGGUCUUCGGAUCGUAAAACUCUUUUAUUAGGGAAGCGGUACCUGAUCAGAAAGCCACGGCUAACUACGUGCCAGCAGCCGCGGUAAUAC